Molecule: long non-coding RNA, 876 nt
Organism: Canis lupus familiaris (dog)
Lineage: Eukaryota; Metazoa; Chordata; Mammalia; Carnivora; Canidae
Exons: 5
Source: RefSeq, a predicted model, not a curated record
GUGCAUUCUGGGAGUUUCUGCGAGGACAGUGAACGAAGGGCAAGGCCCUGGACCGGGGGAUGGUUGCCCCCAGCGAAGGCUGCCCAGCAGGGCACUACAAUCACCCCCACCCUGGGGACUUUUGCGGCUGCAGGCAAUAGUAGGGGGAGUCCGUGAGGGGGCGGAGGGAAGGGAGGCCAGGAAGAGACACUCUUGGAACCUCAGUCUCCCCAGUCUGCCUGCCCCAAAAGAGUGGCUGUGAGGGGCAAAGGUGACAUAGAAGGACAGGGCUCAGGACCGGCUGCCUCCAUCCACAGCCCAGCGGUCUCAGGAGAGGACCAGGUUCCAGCCCAUCCCUCUCCUCCCUGAGCCUGGCUAAAGUGCCAAGCCUGCUGCCCCUGACCUCAUCCCUCUCCAUGCCCCUCAGUCUGGUGUCCCCUUCUCUGAGGAACCAGCUUGGCCCAGAACAAAGUCCAGAGCCGCCAGCACAGCAAUAGUGCAGGAGGGGGGCCCUGCUCUGGAGUCAGAGAGACCUCUGUGCGAUCUUGGUUCCUCUACCCGCUGAGCAAGUGAAAUGACACCUCUGAACCUCAGGUUCUUCCUCUGUGCCUUGUGGGACUGAAUGUUGGGGUAAGAGAAGUAACAUUUAUAAGGUGCUUCUCACAGAGCUAGGCCUUCCUGGCAAGUGCUCAGUAAACCACUGUGUGUGUGUGUGUGUGUGUGUGUGUGUGUGUGUGUUUACAUGAGUGCAGAGCUCAGGGUGCCAAGUGCUCCUGGUAUACACAGGAGCUUCUUGAAUCUGGACAGAUUUCUUUUCCAAGCUCAGCCGGACAUCCCUGGGUCUUGGGGUAGGACCAAGCUAGAGCCCAAGAAAGCUCCUAAGGGAGGAAGGUGGUA